CACGUAGGCGGAUUUGCCAGUCAGGGGUGAAAUCCCGGGGCUCAACCUCGGAACUGCCUCUGAUACAGCAAGUCUUGAGUCCGGAAGAGGUGGGUGGAAUUCCUAGUGUAGAGGUGAAAUUCGUAGAUAUUAGGAAGAACACCAGUGGCGAAGGCGGCCCACUGGUCCGGUACUGACGCUGAGGUGCGAAAGCGUGGGGAGCAAACAGGGAUUAGAUACCCUGGUAGUCCACGCCGUAAACGAUGGAUGCUAGCCGUUGGCAAGCUUGCUUGUCGGUGGCGCAGCUAACGCAUUAAGCAUCCCGCCUGGGGAGUACGGCCGCAAGGUUAAA
Molecule: ribosomal RNA, 331 nt
Filed under: uncultured Hyphomicrobiaceae bacterium
Lineage: Bacteria; Pseudomonadati; Pseudomonadota; Alphaproteobacteria; Hyphomicrobiales; Hyphomicrobiaceae
Description: bacterial SSU rRNA
Rfam family: Bacterial small subunit ribosomal RNA
Source: RNAcentral